This 349-nucleotide ribosomal RNA is filed under the name Pseudophilautus wynaadensis. RNAcentral's name for it is "partial 12S ribosomal RNA". It matches the Rfam family "Bacterial small subunit ribosomal RNA", at positions 862 to 1381 of the family's 1533-position model. Lineage: Eukaryota; Metazoa; Chordata; Amphibia; Anura; Rhacophoridae. The record is from RNAcentral.
ACCACCAACGCCAGGAUAUUACGAGCUUCUAGCUUAAAACCCAAAGGACUUGACGGUACCCCACCCUACUAGAGGAGCCUGUUCUAUAAUCGAUAACCCACGAUAUACCAAACCAUUUCUUGCCUCAGCCUGUAUACCUCCGUCGUAAGCUUACCCUGUGAAUGCACAUAGUAGGCUCAAAGGCCUAACACCCAAACGUCAGGUCAAGGUGCAGCCUAUGAAAUGGAAGCUAUGGGCUACAAUUUCUAAUCUUAGAACUAAUCAAAAUACUACAUGAAAUAUAGUUAUAAAGAAGGAUUUAGCAGUAAAUAAGGAAUAGAGAGCCUUAUUGAACCUGAGCUCUGGGGUA